CGGGAUAUGGCGCAGCUUGUAGCGCGCCUCGUUCGGGACGAGGAGGUCGCAGGUUCAAAUCCUGUUAUCCCGACCA
This is a transfer RNA of 76 nucleotides. It matches the Rfam family "tRNA". From Rfam's summary of the family: Transfer RNA (tRNA) molecules are approximately 80 nucleotides in length. Their secondary structure includes four short double-helical elements and three loops (D, anti-codon, and T loops). Further hydrogen bonds mediate the characteristic L-shaped molecular structure. tRNAs have two regions of fundamental functional importance: the anti-codon, which is responsible for specific mRNA codon recognition, and the 3' end, to which the tRNAs corresponding amino acid is attached (by aminoacyl-tRNA synthetases). tRNAs cope with the degeneracy of the genetic code in two manners: having more than one tRNA (with a specific anti-codon) for a particular amino acid; and 'wobble' base-pairing, i.e. permitting non-standard base-pairing at the 3rd anti-codon position.